UUUUACCCUUAAUUGGUUUUAACCAAUUUACCAUUUCAUUUUUACCAUUCAGUUGAAAAUUCCAAAAAUUACACUUUCACACCCCUCGCACCGGAACACUUGCAAAAAGACUUCCGGUAUGUAAUUUUCCAAACCGGAAGACUUUUGGGAAGACUUCCGGAACACAAAAAAAGCAAACCGGAACACUUAAGGAAAGAGUUCCGGUUCACAUAAAAAAAUUUCAAAAAAAAAUUGCAUACCGGAACUGUUUGGAGAAGUGUUCCGGUUUGCUUUUUUUGUGUACCGGAAGUCUUUCUUUAAGUCUUCCGGUACGUGUUUUUUUAUUUUUUUUUUGUAAUUUUUUUUUUUUUAAUUUUUUUUUUUUUUUUUUUACAGAAAUGGAAAAUCUUCCCAAAAUAUGUGUAGAUACUACUGAUGCGUUUAUGACGACGGAAAGAUUUGGUAUACGAGAAGAGGUUAUCAGAUGGAUUAAAGAGGUUGGAAUCGACAAUAAAGUAACUGUUAUUAUCAGUCGUUCAGAUACUGAAACGGUGAAGAGAGGGAGAAGUAACAAAAUAAUAUUUGGCUGUGAUAAAGGUGGGAAACACAAGAUUAGUGAUAGUGGUACCCAAAGUGCGUCCAAGAAAUGUGGAUGUCCAUUUAAAA
RNAcentral lists this long non-coding RNA (645 nucleotides) under Lathyrus oleraceus (garden pea). Its description in RNAcentral is "Pisum sativum (pea) long non-coding RNA (PSAT_LNC011864)". The record is from RNAcentral. Lineage: Eukaryota; Viridiplantae; Streptophyta; Magnoliopsida; Fabales; Fabaceae.